Bactrocera neohumeralis is the source of this 5397-nucleotide long non-coding RNA. RefSeq lists it as uncharacterized. The record is from RefSeq and is a predicted model, not a curated record. Lineage: Eukaryota; Metazoa; Arthropoda; Insecta; Diptera; Tephritidae. The transcript has 4 exons.
UCAACAUGCAUUUGUCGGGAAGAUUUCAAAUAACUCCUAAGCAAUUCAAUUAAUACAGUGUUCACGUGCUCGCUAUAUACAGAGACAUAUUGUUUGUUUGAGAUAUAAUAACAAGACCACAGGUCGUGAUAGAAGUCUCUGCUGGUACCUUUUCGGAACUUUUGCGAUACGCUAGCAGUGUCUUACGAAAGAUUUAAACCAAUUUCAGUCAACUUAAGACCAGUGUUGCAAAUAAAGACUGAAAAUUCUUAUUAAAAUAAUAUUUUAUUUAACCCCAAAUGAAGGAAUGAAAUUAAAAAAAUGCUGAAUUUUUAAAUUAAUUCCAUAAAUUUUAAUAUUUUUUUUAUUUGGUAACCCCGAAAAUCUUCUUUGAAAUUUAUUUAUGAUCUGAAAUAUCGGAUUUAAGAAAUGUUAAUAACAAGGUUAUAACUAAAAAUUAAAAAUCCUACCAUUUUGAUUAUUUGUUGAAAAGAAAAGCUGUGUUUUAAGGGAUCGUCUUGGUGUAAAAUUUUCGAAAAAUCGAUUUUUUUUGCUGAAUUAUCGGAUAGUAUACGCUGUAGUAAACAUUCUCUCAAUUUCUUGUAGAAAGGGAACAGAGUGAUAGCGACUCCAAUCUUUAAAUGCGUUUUUCUCAGAAUGUUGUUUUUCAAAACGGUUUCCACUCUCAAAGGAAGAGUUUUGAAGAUAUCUACUUCCAAUUUGUAGAGAACAUUUUUAACGUUAUCCUCUAUCGCGCUUUGGAAGCUCAAUUUCAAUUUAAAUUUCUAUCAAAUCAAUUUUCGGAAUUAAAAAUAAAAUUUCUCCAAAGUCGGAAUUAAAAAUUUAAAAAAUUUCAAGAUUUUUGAUCGAAAAAUUCACACUAAGAUAAGCAUUACAGAGUGUACAUAUUCGAAAUUUCGUCCCAGUUGGAGGCCCAGACAGAUAACAUGAAAAGCCCAGAGCGCACGUAGUACACUCGAUAGAAUCUUGUGUAAUUGGCAAGCAAGUUGGCCUCACGAUUGUUGUCCCAUUUGUUGGAUCGCAGCAUGUCUGAUUUUGCUACAAAAAUUUUAAGUCCAUAUUGGGCGCAUAAUGAGCUUAAUGAUCAAUACUUUAAAACCAAUGAACACAGUGCCACUUUGCAGCGCUAGAUAUACUGAAAACUCUACGAAGAACUGUAUAUGAGUUCGAGUUGUCUUUAUACCCUAUUCAACAAGCAAUAUGUUACAUAGAUAUUUCAAAGAAUUCAGCCAAAUAUAUGAUAUUUAUUAUGGUGCAAUAUGGCUUAUAGUAUGUUACUAACAACAACAUUCUAAUGAUGCUAGUGCAACCUCGUUUAGAACAUAACAUUCAAGAAAUUAUUCCCGACUGUACAUGCAUUAAAUUACGACUCCCAUUGAGAGUAAAAAAAGAAUUAAGCAGCAAACUUCGUUAAAGGUAGAUAUCAAUAUUACAAACUCAAUUUCCACUAAGAAGAAAAAGUCACACGGCACCAUGCCUGGCGAAUAUGGACGCUGUGGCAUCGUUACAGUAGCGUUUUUGGCCAAUAAUUCACGAACAUGCGAGGGAGUGUGAGCUUUCACCACACUAAAAUCGCCAAACUCAUAAAAACAAGUCUAAGCUUAGCGGCUGCCACAGAAAAAAGGAGCAAUGGGGCAUAUAAGUAAAUUUUGGCAAUUGGACUCCCAAAUAGAAUAUACAAUGUCUAUUAAUAUGAUUCACCUAAUAUUUAUGACACUAAUCCUGCACUCUUUUAAGGAGGAGAUAAAAAUUUUGAAAAAUCAUUUUUUUUUUUUUCAUAAAAUGUUAGUAUGGUUCUUUAAGCACAUGAAACAAAAUUUUGGAAAGUGAUUUCAAUUAUUUCGUUGCAUUGGCAGCUAAUGACUAGUUUUUCACAUACUUACAUAGAUGUAGUCAAUAUCAAUCAACCUGAGCAGCUGUGUUUAAUGUCCGUAUAUCUGUCGAAUUCACGACGAACAUGUAAAUUUAUUUAAACCUGCUAUACACCUACAAAACCCUGAUACACUUGCUUGGCCAAGUAGAUCGACAACCACAAAACAGUUGCUUUACCUAAUAGGGUUAAAAUAAUUAUUUCAUCUAGGUUCAUCUAAGCAAGAAUUCAUGAAAAAUAUAUCUUAUGGCACACUACAUGCAUUUCAGAGUGGAUAUCGAUAAAUAUCUUUAAAACUAGAGACUCGAGCCCUCAAUGCCAUCAAUUAAACAUUCGGCUUCAAAUUGCACUAGUAAAGCUUUUUUGAAAAGAAGUUUAGUUUAGAAUAUUUAAUAGCGGCUGAUCCAAGUAUAAGAACUAUUUUUAAUAGCCUUUUUUUGACAGAUCACGCGUGAGUCGUAUCAAGCCGUUAAAAUAUUUUUAUUCAGCAUUGUUUGGCAUUUCAUCAUGGAAAGACUUACGCCUGAACACCGUUUAAAAAUCGUUCAACUGUAUUAUAAAAAUUCACGUUCUGUAAAGAAAGUGUGCGCGCUUCGCUCAACUUAUGGUCAACAGGAUCAGCCUACUGGGCGUACUAAACGCACCACCAUCACCCAGCUUGAAACCCAGCAUGAAACCCAGCAUUCAUUAUUGGAUAAUAUUCCACCGAAUAGACUACGUCCAGCACGUAGUGAAGAAAAUACAGCAGCUGUAGCUAAGAGUGUACACGAAGAGAAUGGAGAGUCGAUUCGGCAUUGUUCGCAGCAACUUGAACUGACAUAUGGAACGACUUGGCGCAUUUUAUGUCGAAAUCUUAAGUUGAAAGCGUACAAAAUACAGCUUGUGCAAGAACUGAAGCCGCUCGACCUUCUCAAGCGACAGCGCUUCGCUCUAUAGGUUCUUGAAAAGUUCUAAGAGGAUCCGACGUUUUCGAGCCAAAUUAUGUUUUUUCUCUGUGGGGAUAUGUCAAAUCUGAAGUCUAUACGAACAACAGCGCUUCGAGUCAGGCCUUGGAGCGAUACAUCACGCGUGGACUCAACGGAAGGACCAUCUGAGACGUAGCCACGGCCAACAUUUGAAAGAGAUAAUCUUCAAGGUAUAAAUGCCAAAGAAUGUUCUUAUGAUGACAAUGAAUGACAAUAAGCAUUCGCCAUUAAAUUUGAAGUUUAUGCGCUUCUUCUUGAAAAAAGUAUUAAACCUCGAAAUCGAUCACCCUUUAGUUGUGUGCAACAAAAUCGUGGUUUAAAUUCUCUUCACUGAGUUAUUUAUCAAAAACAUAAGUGGAUAAAGAAAAUAUUUGGAACUCUCCUUUUAUUUCAUCACCUUUUUGGACAGAUAGUUAAAUAAUUCAGCUGUAAGUAUGACAUAGUAUAUACACAUCAAGUCUUCACACGAUCGACCAUUGGUGAAUAUCAACAAUAAUGGCCACAAACUGUAGUCCAAUAGAUUCAAAACUGAACUUGCAGACAACAACAGUCAACUGAGGCUAUAAAACCAGAGAUUUUGCUUUAAAACCUUUGCUGGGUGGUGGUUUUACCUUCAAUGCUCUCCAACGAACAGAGUGUUACUAACUGCUUUAAAACGACUUCUAAACACUUUGCUGUUACAUGUUUCUCCCUUUUCCAGUUGUAGUUGUAGACUAAAUAACAAAACAUAUGGCAAGACUAAGUUUCGGGACGAUGGACAUAGGAACCGAUUUUAGCCAUGCCAACUUAAUUUAAUUGAACUACCGCACAAAUUAAUCGUCAUUCUUGGUAUAAAGUAGCAUUUGACCGUUUGAUGCCCUGCACUUUGCCAAAAUCAUACUGCUUAAAUAGCAUUUUUGAUUCGAGAUAUUCGAAUUCACUAUAGAUUGCACCCUUUUUGCAAUCCUCGAUGCCAGUGGAUUGCAAAAAGGGUGGUAAUACAAAGGGGCAUAGAAAGAACUGGGUAAAAUUAAGAUUUCACUGAUAUAUAAAAUUCUCGCCAAUUUCUUCCAUAUGUUUGAAAGCAUUUAAACCAAGUGUUGUGCAUAACCCUAAAAGAGAAAUAUAGAUGAGCAACAAAAGAGCAACUACGCAAUUUCAUUGAAUUAGAAAUGAAACUGGAAACAUUAACAGCAGACAAUUGAAGUAGAAAUUGUACAAAAACGAACUGCGCUCAUGAAAUGAGAUAGUACGUCCAUAAAAAGGAUUGAAUAUCCAAAAAUAUAAUACAAGAGUUUGGUAGUCAUCCUAGUUGGAAGCAUUGUGUGUGAAAUUGCCGCUACCAUCGGUUUCUAUUAUAGCUAUAGAUAUGGGAGAACGUUCUUACAAUGUCCGGCACUCGAAGUGUCGAUUUCAGACCGUUCGCGCAGCUGUCGCACUGGAAUCAGCUGUUUAUAAAUUUGCCAAAUGACAGUUCGGAGUAUUGUUCACAAGUGUACAAAAGCGUUUUGUCAAAAAACAGUGAUCAGCGAUGGAAUUCACAGCCAGCAAUUGUUCGUGAGCUCAAACAUCUUAAUGUGAAUAAAGUUUUUGUUUAUCGCACCAUCACUCGUUACUGGUAGCAUCGCAAAACGCCAUGGAGGUGGUCAUCAAAAGACUGCAACGUCACGUGAGAUGGUUCGGAAAGUGAAGAAGCGACUUGAGCGAAAUCCACGACGAAGUGCCAAUCAAGUGGCUAAAGAACUGAAAAAAUAUCCGACCGCAGCAUCCGACGCAUAUUGAAAAAUGAGCUCAAGGUCAAGCCUUACAAGUUCCAAAAGGCCCAUGAUUCCCACCGAAGCAGCAACAAGUAAGACUUGAGAGAGCGAAGCAGUUGCUUCGCUUGGCCGAAAGCGAUCAAAUUCCGAACAUUGUGUUUUCUGACGAAAAAAUUUUUCCAAUUGAGCAAUUCGUAAACUCUCAAAACGAUAGGGUUUACUUGACCGACCGUUCAUACGAGAAUCUAAGUCAUCGGUUGGCCACCAGGAAGCAGCACCCGCCACAAAUAUUGGUUGGGGCCGCAGAUGGGCGCUCUCCAAUUGUUUUCAUCGAGCCUGGCGUCAAAGUAAGUGCGACAUAUUAUCGGGAAAGUGUUCUGGAGGCUGCUUUGAAGCCGUGGGCAAACAAAUAUUUCGGUCGCAAACCAUGGACGCUUCAACAAGACUCAGCACCGUCUCACAAAGCGCGAGUGAACCAAGAAUGGCUGAAAAACAACGUUCUGAACUUCAUUACGACCACGCAAUGGCUCUCGAAUUCACCAGAUGCGAAUCCAAUGGAUUAUUCUCUCUUGGCCAUUUUGGAGAGCAAGGUCCGAAGUAAAAAAUACACCAGUCUCGAGAUGCUGAAGAAAGUCAUUGUCCGUGAGUGGGCUAAAAUACCGGCAAGUCACAUUCGGGCAUCUUGCGAUUCGUUUUUUGACCGUCUCAAGGCCAUAGUUAAGGCAAAAGGUGGUCAUAUCGAGCAAAAGUGAAUUGGUCCUGAAUUUAUGAUUAUUUUCACACAUUUUGUACUUUAAAAUAAAUAAAAAUAAUUUUCCAAACCGAA